Formica exsecta is the source of this 1583-nucleotide long non-coding RNA. RefSeq lists it as uncharacterized. The record is from RefSeq and is a predicted model, not a curated record. The transcript has 2 exons. Lineage: Eukaryota; Metazoa; Arthropoda; Insecta; Hymenoptera; Formicidae.
UGACGAAGUUAUCACGAACAUUGAACCUAGCGCACCACCUUCCGCUCCGGACAUCAUUCCAGUGUGGGUGGUAGUUCUGUCGGCCUGCGCAGGAAUGAUAAUCCUCUUGCUGCUCAUCUACUUGCUUCAUAAGUGCGGAUUCUUUAAGAGGAAUAGGCCUUCCGACGCUCCAGAAAGGCAACCGCUAAAUCGAAACGGUCAUUUCCAGCAAGGCGAGGAUCACUGAACAGCCUCCUUUUUCAAUUUCGUUCUAUCGAAGUUUUUGACCUUCUGGCUAUAUCGGAUUGAAUCGCAGACGAGAACCUGGCUACGCGAUCGAAGAGUGCCUUGGUCUUUUGAUAAUCAAAAGAACGCACAUUGCGUGGAUUCGCUUGGCGUAGUCUGCGGACGUGGUCCCGACUUCUACCGAAUAUCUUAAUAGCGUUUAACAGUGCCUUAAUUCACUGUCCAAGAUGAACAUCUGCUGAGGCGCAUGGAUUCUAAGUGACAAUCGAUUCGUCAUUCUUAUACUGCCACUGAAUACUCCUUCCAGCUCCUGCAGCUCGACCACGCAAGUUUCUAGUCAGGAGACGAUUUUCUGUUUUUAUUACCUGUAAUUACUUAAGCCGCCCGUACAGUCGGCAGAUACGAACGAAUAUUUCGACAUUCUUCGGUAAAUCGUAUCUUCAUGUAUAUAAGUAUAUAUAUGUUAUUUUUUUUAACGUUAUCCGGUAAAGCGUCUUGAUAUGUGCCCCGUCGCUUCCGCUGCCUUUUUACGGUAAAAUAGAAUUAUUUUUUUAUCCGCGUCCAAUUGGCACGAUCUCUAAAACGAUCUUGUAUCUUGUCAAUAACCAUCUCCAGCGGAACUCAUUCGAAAACAUUAUGGGUUCUUUCGUAAAGCUCCUUUUACACAAGACGGUGAUCAAAUGUUGCAUAUCGUGAACAUUAAAUUUACACGUCGUGAAAGAUGGCUUAUUGUUAAUUCUUCAGACGUCUUUUAAAUGUUUCCUCCAAGUUUUUGUAUUGUUUGUGAAUAAUGUAUUGUUAUCAGCAUUUCAAACAUUACUCACGACCGGUUUAAAAGGGAUCUAUAAAUCUCUUGAAAACAGCCUCGAAGACGCACGGGGCUCUUUUUAAUUAUUUAUUAAAUUUCUAUGUUAUAUAUAUAUAUAAUACUAUAAUUCGUAGGCUUGAGCGCCGUAAUAAUAGCGUGACUUACUAUGGUCGCACGCGCAAGACGCGAAUGUGUGUACAAUUUGUAAAUUAUUAAUUUACAUUACUAAAAUUUUAUAUCCACGAGAAGUGGUUUAACGCAAUAAUAUUCGAUUAGAAAGGAGACUUUUUAGUAUAAAUAGGAGAUUAGUGCUGACUUGUACAUACAACGUUAAGACAUAAUACGAAAAAAAAUAUAUGUAAUGAAAUUAACACACCAUUAUGCAUAUAUUGCUAAUUUUUUUUCUAAUAAAACUGUUAGGAGAAUAGCUUUGAUUAAUAUAAGUAAAGAAAGGAAAAUUAAAUCAGAUGUGAAUUUGUACAACUAUUUAUUGAAAAAUUACAAUGAUGUAACAGAGCGAUUGGUAAAAGAAACGUUUAAUUACCAUCUC